GACACACAUGCAUAGCAACGAAUCAGCAAAAAAUAAAUUGUCGAUGCAUGUACUCACCCAUAUUGGCUUUGUUUCAUUGGCCAGCUCCCAAUCCCAAUACUUCUCAGUUUUAGUUUUCUUUGUUUUCUUCUUCUCAUCCUCUGGUUUUGCUUCUUCUCCUUCUCUUGGUUCUUCCUCCUCUUCCACCUACCAAAAUUUUGAUUUAGCAAAGACUGUUUAAUUCAGUGCUGGCUUUACUAUACAAAUAAAGUAACUAAGGAAAAGAGGAAAAAAAAGUAAACUAAAAUCAUCACCCUAAGUAUUAACUCAUGAAAUGAAGAAAACAAUUCAUACAAAGAUUUAAGAGGAAGGCCUAAGAGCAAUACUUGAAAAGUUUUACCACUGCCGCCACCCCCCUAAAAAAAAAAUACUGAGAGCACAAUGUAGAUUCAAGUGAAACUACCAUCUACCAUAUAUGUUAUAUGCAGUCCCUCCAACAACCUUUAAAGGUGAAGAGAGAUGACAUUUAAUGUCAAUGUUCUCACCUCAACAGUCCUUGA
This 539-nucleotide unclassified non-coding RNA is filed under the name Hevea brasiliensis (rubber tree). The record is from RNAcentral. Lineage: Eukaryota; Viridiplantae; Streptophyta; Magnoliopsida; Malpighiales; Euphorbiaceae.